RNAcentral lists this ribosomal RNA (548 nucleotides) under uncultured Parabacteroides sp. RNAcentral's name for it is "bacterial LSU rRNA". It matches the Rfam family "Bacterial large subunit ribosomal RNA", at positions 1073 to 1629 of the family's 2925-position model. Lineage: Bacteria; Pseudomonadati; Bacteroidota; Bacteroidia; Bacteroidales; Tannerellaceae. The record is from RNAcentral.
CGGCCGCGUCGACGACAGCUAGGAUGUUGGCUUGGAAGCAGCCAUUCAUUUAAAGAGUGCGUAACAGCUCACUAGUCGAGGAGUUUGGCGUGGAUAAUAAUCGGGCAUAAAACUAUUUACCGAAGCAGUGGAUCUCGUAAGAGAUGGUAGGGGAGCAUUCCGGCGGCGCUGAAGAUAGAGGAUGACCUCUGUUGGAGCUUCCGGAAAAGCAAAUGUAGGUAUAAGUAACGAUAAAGGAGGUGAGAAACCUCCUCGCCGAAAGCUAAGGUUUCCUGAUCAACGUUAAUCGGAUCAGGGUAAGUCGGGACCUAAAGAUAAGCCGAACGGCGAAGCCGAUGGAAGAAACGGUUAAUAUUCCGUUACUACUUUAUGGAGUGACGUGGAGACGGAGAAGUGACAGUCCUGCCGGCUGACGGAAUAGCCGGUUGAAGGGUGUAGAUGUAGAUCUUUGUAGGCAAAUCCGCAGAGAGAGUCGAACCUGACAGUAUGCCGCGUACUUGUACAAGGCAAAAUGGAUGUAAUCAGGCUCCCUAGAAAAUCCGCUAAAC